RNAcentral lists this ribosomal RNA (253 nucleotides) under uncultured bacterium. RNAcentral describes it as "partial 16S ribosomal RNA". It matches the Rfam family "Bacterial small subunit ribosomal RNA", at positions 524 to 776 of the family's 1533-position model. The record is from RNAcentral.
UACGUAGGUGGCAAGCGUUAUCCGGAUUUAUUGGGCGUAAAGGGAACGCAGGCGGUCUUUUAAGUCUGAUGUGAAAGCCUUCGGCUUAACCGGAGUAGUGCACUGGAAACUGGGAGACUUGAGUGCAGAAGAGGAGAGUGGGACUCCAUGUGUAGCGGUGAAAUGCGUAGAUAUAUGGAAGAACACCAGUGGCGAAAGCGGCUCUCUGGUCUGUAACUGACGCUGAGGUUCGAAAGCGUGGGUAGCAAACAGG